Long non-coding RNA from Gallus gallus (chicken), 691 nucleotides. The record is from Ensembl. NCBI's taxonomy places the organism in Eukaryota, Metazoa, Chordata, Aves, Galliformes, Phasianidae.
CUUCUAAUUUUGAGACAGAUUGAACAAUUGGAAAGUAUGAUCAGCUUUAGAAAAUUAAAAUGGAAAAUUAUCAGAACGGAAGAAUGAACCAUUUUCAUCCAUGACUUCACAUGGACUGUUUGAGUAUAGAGCCAGGUGAAAUUGAAUUGUGAAUGAAAGUAUCUAGACUGAAGCUUAAAAGAUCAGAUACUUCACCCAGGAAACAUUGUUUUUUCAAAUCUAGAAAUGAAAAUUAUAUUUAUAUCAGGUAGCAGCUGAAGAUAUCAUCUUAAAGGAGAACACUUGAAAUGCCUUGAUGAAAUUUGUCAAAAGUUUAGCCAAAUGGAAAUUUUUUAUUUGGCUUAAACACUUAACUGAUGAAACAACUUUUCCGCAACAUCUAAAUCCCAGAUGAGACUUUUAAAUCCAAGUAAGUUUGAAGCCACUUGAACUUUUCUAAGAUUCACUCCAGCAGCUUAUUUGCACUGAACACAGAAGUCUGAGGCAAGAAUGAGAAGAGACUAAAAUGCACCAUAGGUCUAAGCCAGAAGCUUUGAACUCAGAUCCAGAAGGAACAUCCAAAGAUCUACCAACCAGUCAGUCUUCCUCAAGCCCUGAGAAGGUGAUGAAGCAAUGAAUUCUGAAGUAUGUUUAGAAACACAUGAAGAACUAGGAGGUAAUCAGGAACAGUCAGCAUGUAUUUACAGUGGAG